CAGAGCGCGGCUUCACUACGGCGUACUUCUGGGUUGAAGUGGAAACGCGGGGCGCGAUGUGAAAGGUUCCGCGUUGCUUUGGUUCCAUGUCAGGGGGGAAAAGGUAGGGUAUGUAAAUAAAUAUAAAACCAUAGCAGGGCUGUUCUGGCUUGGUCAUUUACACAGAAUGGAAGAGGUAGCCGCUAGGCAAACCAACUUUAUUGUUGUUUAGUCGUUUAGUCGUGUCCACCUCUUCGUGACCCCCUGGACCAGAGCACGCCAGGCCCUCCUGUCUUCCACUGCCUCCCGCAGUUUGGUCAAACUCAUGCUGAUCGCUUCGAGAACACUGUCCAACCAUCUCGUCCUCUGUCGUCCCCUUCUCCUUGUGCCCUCCAUCUUUCCCAACAUCAGGGUCUUUUCCAGGGAGUCUUCUCUUCUCAUGAGGUGGCCAAAGUCUUGGAGCCUCAGCUUCAGGAUCUGUCCUUCCAGUGAGCGCUCAGGGCUGAUUUCCGUAAGAAUGGAUAGGUUUGAUCUUCUUGCAGUCCAUGGGACUCUCAAGAGUCUCCUCCAGCACCAUGGCAAACCAACUAUGCAUUACAAAUAUGUCUACAAGCAUGACACGAAUGUUGGCAACAGCGACCCCUCCUGUGCUACUCUCUUGCAGACGACAGCAGUGCCUGGAGACAGGCGGUCAAGUCGUGUAUCCACGGUAGUGACCAAAGGAGGAAUGACCGCUGGGAGGAGCGCAGUGAAGAAGAAAUGCCAUGCUGCAUCAGCGCCAGCACAACCAGAUACCUUCAUCUGCCCAGCUAAGUCAGAAACGAGGAGACAAGUCCUGUCCUCAGGUUUGAAAACUAAAUAAGACACCCGGCAGAAGGGAUAUUGAGGAAGAAAGUAGAGGAAGAAUAACUUUCAACAAUGCCCAAAGGCUUGAGAUGUCCAUAGGCAACCGUGUCUUGUAUUUAGAGAGCUGCAGCAACUGUCCCAGCAGCCCUUCAUCCGAGCAAGUGGUGACUGGAACCUCUUUGUUUACUCUGGCACACAUGAUGAACUCAGUUGGAACAGCUGCUGUGGGACAGAACUGCCCCCUCUCUCUGCUUUGUCACAUUGCAAUUUCCACGAUUCUCUGGGACAUUGUUUUGUGGGGUCUUAGGAAAAGCCACAGAGGCCUGUUUUUGUCUCUUUUUUUGGUUAGCCUAAUUGAUGCCAUUUUGCUUCUGUAAAAAACUGCCUGCUUUGGAAUUUAGGAGGAUGAGCCACAAAUAUGUGAAAACCAGAUAACGUUGCUAGGCGAUUGCACCUCCCUCUGCCAGGCAACUCUCCCCUUCAAGUGUGUCCUGUUUUGAUCAGCACAAGGAACCUCGAAAGGGGGAAUGCCUAUAAAAAGUAUGAACAAAGGCUAUUUGGGGCGAUUUCACCAUCACACUGGUGAGUGUGCCUCUCCUGCUCUGUUUUACUCAGCUGAAUAAACGAGUGAUUAUGGGAA
Long non-coding RNA from Podarcis raffonei (Aeolian wall lizard), 1465 nucleotides. RefSeq lists it as uncharacterized. NCBI's taxonomy places the organism in Eukaryota, Metazoa, Chordata, Lepidosauria, Squamata, Lacertidae. The transcript is spliced from 2 exons. The record is from RefSeq and is a predicted model, not a curated record.